AGUCAUAUGCUUGUCUCAAAGAUUAAGCCAUGCAUGUCUCAGUACAAGCCGAAUUAAGGUGAAACCGCGAAAGGCUCAUUAAAUCAGUUAUGGUUCCUUAGAUCGUACCCACAUUUACUUGGAUAACUGUGGUAAUUCUAGAGCUAAUACAUGCAAACAGAGCUCCGACCGGAGACGGAAGGAGCGCUUUUAUUAGAUCAAAACCAAUCGGCGGCGGGUUCGCUCGUCGUCGUACAACUUGGUGAAUCUGAAUAACUUUCUGCUGAUCGCAUGGUCUCGCACCGGCGACGCAUCUUUCAAAUGUCUGCCUUAUCAACUGUCGAUGGUAGGUUCUGCGCCUACCAUGGUUGUAACGGGUAACGGGGAAUCAGGGUUCGAUUCCGGAGAGGGAGCCUGAGAAACGGCUACCACAUCCAAGGAAGGCAGCAGGCGCGCAAAUUACCCACUCCCGGCACGGGGAGGUAGUGACGAAAAAUAACGAUACGGGACUCAUCCGAGGCCCCGUAAUCGGAAUGAGUACACUCUAAACCCUUUAACGAGGAUCAAUUGGAGGGCAAGUCUGGUGCCAGCAGCCGCGGUAAUUCCAGCUCCAAUAGCGUAU
Molecule: ribosomal RNA, 601 nt
Filed under: Potamodytes sp. FC_D01
Lineage: Eukaryota; Metazoa; Arthropoda; Insecta; Coleoptera; Elmidae
Description: SSU rRNA
Rfam family: Eukaryotic small subunit ribosomal RNA
Source: RNAcentral